CCAAUAGCGUAUAUUAAAGUUGUUGCAGUUAAAAAGCUCGUAGUUGAACUUCAGGCCUGUCCAGAUGGUCCGCCUUAAUUGGUGUGUACUGUCCUUGGGUGGGUCCUACCUUCUGGCGAAGCGGCAUGGCCUUAAUUGGUUGUGUCGGGGAACCAGGACUUUUACUGUGAAAAAAUUAGAGUGUUCAAAGCAGGUAUUAUAUGCUCGAAUACAUUAGCAUGGAAUAAUGGAAUAGGACGAUGGUUCUAUUUUGUUGGUUCUAGGACCGUUGUAAUGAUUAAUAGGGAUAGUUGGGGGCAUUAGUAUUCAAUUGUCAGAGGUGAAAUUCUUGGAUUUAUUGAAGACUAACUACUGCGAAAGCAUUUGCCAAGGAUGUUUUCAUUAAUCAAGAACGAAAGUUAGGGGAUCGAAGACGAUCAGAUACCGUCGUAGUCUUAACCAUAAACUAUGCCGACUAGGAAUCGGGCGAUGUUGACAAAAUGACUCGCUCGGCACCUCAUG
Molecule: ribosomal RNA, 501 nt
Filed under: uncultured Glomeromycotina
Lineage: Eukaryota; Fungi; Glomeromycota
Description: partial small subunit ribosomal RNA
Rfam family: Eukaryotic small subunit ribosomal RNA
Source: RNAcentral